This 695-nucleotide ribosomal RNA is filed under the name uncultured Alphaproteobacteria bacterium. Its description in RNAcentral is "bacterial SSU rRNA". It matches the Rfam family "Bacterial small subunit ribosomal RNA", at positions 30 to 771 of the family's 1533-position model. Lineage: Bacteria; Pseudomonadati; Pseudomonadota; Alphaproteobacteria. The record is from RNAcentral.
CGAACGCUGGCGGCAUGCCUAAUACAUGCAAGUCGAACGAGACCUUCGGGUCUAGUGGCGCACGGGUGCGUAACGCGUGGGAAUCUGCCCUUCGGUUCGGAAUAACUCAGGGAAACUUGAGCUAAUACCGGAUGAUGACGUAAGUCCAAAGAUUUAUCGCCGAAGGAUGAGCCCGCGUAGGAUUAGCUAGUUGGUGGGGUAAAGGCCCACCAAGGCGACGAUCCUUAGCUGGUCUGAGAGGAUGAUCAGCCACACUGGGACUGAGACACGGUCCAGACUCCUACGGGAGGCAGCAGUAGGGAAUAUUGGACAAUGGGCGCAAGCCUGAUCCAGCAAUGCCGCGUGAGUGAUGAAGGCCUUAGGGUUGUAAAGCUCUUUUACCCGGGAUGAUAAUGACAGUACCGGGAGAAUAAGCUCCGGCUAACUCCGUGCCAGCAGCCGCGGUAAUACGGAGGGAGCUAGCGUCGUUCGGAAUUACUGGGCGUAAAGCGCACGUAGGCGGCGAUUCAAGUCAGAGGUGAAAGCCCGGGGCUCAACCCCGGAACUGCCUUUGAGACUGGAUUGCUUGAAUCCGGGAGAGGUGAGUGGAAUUCCGAGUGUAGAGGUGAAAUUCGUAGAUAUUCGGAAGAACACCAGUGGCGAAGGCGGCUCACUGGACCGGCAUUGACGCUGAGGUGCGAAAGCGUGGGGAGCAA